RNAcentral lists this ribosomal RNA (255 nucleotides) under uncultured bacterium. RNAcentral's name for it is "partial 16S ribosomal RNA". It matches the Rfam family "Bacterial small subunit ribosomal RNA", at positions 524 to 776 of the family's 1533-position model. The record is from RNAcentral.
GACGAAGGAUGCAAGCGUUAUCCGGAUUCAUUGGGUUUAAAGGGAGCGUAGGUGGUCUUAUAAGUCAGUGGUGAAAUCUCUGGGCUUAACCCAGAAAUUGCCAUUGAUACUGUAGGACUUGAGUAUAGUUGCCGUUGGCGGAAUAUGACAUGUAGUGGUGAAAAUACAUAGAGAUGUCAUAGAACACCGAUUGCGAAGGCAGCUAACGAAAACUAUAACUGACACUGAGGCUCGAAAGUGCGGGGAUCAAACAGG